This 575-nucleotide ribosomal RNA is filed under the name uncultured Gammaproteobacteria bacterium. Its description in RNAcentral is "bacterial SSU rRNA". It matches the Rfam family "Bacterial small subunit ribosomal RNA", at positions 102 to 679 of the family's 1533-position model. Lineage: Bacteria; Pseudomonadati; Pseudomonadota; Gammaproteobacteria. The record is from RNAcentral.
ACGGGUGAGUAACGCGUAGGAAUCUACCCUAAAGCGGGGGACAACCCGAGGAAACUCGGGCUAAUACCGCAUAAUCUCGAAAGAGUAAAGCUGGGGCAACCUGGCACUUUAGGAGGAGCCUGCGUCCGAUUAGCUAGUUGGUGAGGUAAAGGCUCACCAAGGCGAUGAUCGGUAGCUGGUCUGAGAGGAUGAUCAGCCACACUGGGACUGAGACACGGCCCAGACUCCUACGGGAGGCAGCAGUGGGGAAUAUUGGACAAUGGGGGCAACCCUGAUCCAGCAAUACCGCGUGUGUGAAGAAGGCCUUAGGGUUGUAAAGCACUUUAGUUGGGGAAGAAGAAUAGUUGUUUAAGAGAUGAUUAUUUUGACGGUACCCAAAGAAUAAGCACCGGCUAACUCUGUGCCAGCAGCCGCGGUAAUACAGAGGGUGCAAGCGUUAAUCGGAGUUACUGGGCGUAAAGGGCGCGUAGGUGGUUAUUUAAGUUUGAUGUGAAAGCCCUGGGCUUAACCUAGGAACUGCAUUGAAUACUGGGUAACUUGAGUACUGUAGAGGGUAGUGGAAUUUCCGGUGUAGC